Molecule: long non-coding RNA, 2260 nt
Organism: Mustela erminea (ermine)
Lineage: Eukaryota; Metazoa; Chordata; Mammalia; Carnivora; Mustelidae
Exons: 2
Source: RefSeq, a predicted model, not a curated record
GUAAAAAUAAAAUGAAGUCUCUAUCUGUAAAACCAGGCAGAAGGGGAGAGUGAGAAAUGAAAGAGGAUCUGGUCAGAGAGAAUCUGGAGGGGAGCUUCUUGCAUGUUGUUCUCACUCUUAUCCCUCCCUCUCUGUCCCCCUGUCUAGACCCUCCAUAUUUCUGCUCUCUAGGGCUCCUGACAGAGGGAGCCUCAAGGCUGGCCACUCACGCUUGGGGCAGCCUGUGGGCCCUGCGCUCUGCCGCACCCCUAGUUAGCAGGAAGGUUGAAGCUGGUUCAGUGAAGAGUGCUGGUCUCCACAGACCCAGCUGUGAGCACCUGCUUGCAGGGAGGCCCAGGCGGGUGGGGAAGUCUAGGAGAUAAAUUUAGUCUGAAGGCUGCUGCUUAUCGAAUGGGUAGUUACCCUGGGGAAGCUGGGAGGGGCGAGAGGAGAGGAAUUCUGACCCAGCUGAACUGAGACCUCACAAGUUCACCCCCAAGUACAGAUACAGAACCACAAUCCCCUUCCCCCAGCAAGCACUCAGAAAUGACGCUGGCCAGUUUCUGCACACUUGAUCUCUCUUGUGCAUACCAAGAUUAUUCCUAUAACCUCCCCACCCCCACCUCAAUUCUCAGAGGUCCACUUCCUCUGCGUCCUUCCCUAAAUUCCCCCCAGUAUGCCAGACCUCGGGGCCACUCUACCACAUCUCUCUGGCCUUGGCUCACAGCUUCCUCUCUCCCAAGUCCCUCUAGAGGGUUUCAGAGGUCAAAGGAGAGGUGUCUGGCCACACUACUCCCCUAGAAGGGACUAAGAAAAGGGGUUGCUCCGGGUCAAAGUCCCCUUCCUGAAAGCUUCCACACUGACCCCAUACUGACUUCAUGACCAGAGGAAAGAACCCUUAGGGGCUGCACUGAAUCCUAGCUUUAAAGUGAAAGGGGAGGGGGCAACCCCCCAAACGAAAACCCAUAUUCUGAGAAGUCAGAGGCUGGUGGCUGUCAGGGAGCUCAGGGGCAGCCACAAAGAGCAGGGAGGUGCCGAAGCUGGGGGUGCCCCAAGAGGGGCUGCGGCUGCGAUCCCCACCUGUGAUUGGUUCUCAGACUCGGGCCAAACUCCAAACCUGCCCAGCAACAGCCCUAAGAGGCCCUAAGAGGGAGGGGAACUUCGGAGAAGUCAGCUGAGCUGGGGCCACCACCCAGGCUGCAGCUUCCAGGAAUCGCUGGGAGGGCCCCAGCUAGUCACUGCCACCCCCGCCCUCGGUCUUGGGACACCGCCUUCUGCCCUCUGUAUCUACUGGGCUGGGGCAGAGCCCACUUCCCUCCCUGAUCCUCCCCAUCUCUGAUCCCCUUACAGGUUCACCCAGAGACAGAAGAAUAUGUCUAAUAGCUCCUCUUAAGGCAGAACAGAGACACCGAGACUGCACUUGCCCUCUUCCUCACUCCUUCCCCCAGGACACAGGGACCCCCAGGAAAUCUGGCUUCCAGAAGCAGAGAUCUGGAACUCAGACCUCAGAAUUGCAGAGGUCCGUACUGUGGAAUAAGCUGCCCGCUCUCAUACCACCUUUAGCAAGCUAUUUACCUUGAGCGAUGACAAGACCGCAGGAAGGGAGACUAGCAUGAUGCAUCUCUGAAGAAUGUCUCUGGCAGGACAUCCAGUACUGCCUUGGCUCCACCCUCGACCCCGCCCUAAGUCCCCUAGAGCCGGGCCAGGCCAGGCUCCUCCUCCUCCAGUCCUUUCCGCAGAGGGAAGCAGGGAGGGGCAGAAGUCACUUCCUUUGCCCCACCCUAGCAAAAGCAAUAAACCGAGAGCUUAAUGCGGAAAUGGGAAAUGAGGGCAGAAAAGAUGGGUGAAGCAGGCAGGGAGGGCCAAAGAAAAGAGAACAGGAGAAAAGACCCCUGCAAAGCCAACUGCUAUUCAGCUCAGCCCCAGACGGAAAGCAGGGCUACUGGAUUCGAAGAGACUUUACAGAAAGACUCAGUCUAUGGAGAAACCCACCACAGGCCAUGCAGUUUUUCCUCAGCGCUGGAACCAAGCUCCCAACUCCAUACCUAAAGUGGGAGAAGUGGUGACCUCUAGUGGUCGAUGGCCAACCUGCAGGGCCUAUGGUUGGCCAGGAUCCCCUCCCGGGAUUGGGGCUCACUUAACAUCCUAUCUGGGCCCAAACUCUCUCUGCCUGGGCUAUAGGUACUAUUCCCCCUUCCCACCGCUCAUUCUGACCUCACACUGCUUGUUUAGGGCCCAGGUGAAUGGGUUCCCAUCAGGACAAUAAAGAGCCUGUUUCUCA